RNAcentral lists this ribosomal RNA (253 nucleotides) under uncultured bacterium. RNAcentral describes it as "partial 16S ribosomal RNA". It matches the Rfam family "Bacterial small subunit ribosomal RNA", at positions 524 to 776 of the family's 1533-position model. The record is from RNAcentral.
UACAGAGGUCUCAAGCGUUGUUCGGAUUCAUUGGGCGUAAAGGGUGCGUAGGUGGCGCCGUAAGUCGGGUGUGAAAUUUCGGAGCUUAACUCCGAAACUGCAUUCGAUACUGCGGUGCUUGAGGACUGGAGAGGAGACUGGAAUUCAUGGUGUAGCAGUGAAAUGCGUAGAGAUCAGGAGGAACACCGAUGGCGAAGGCAGGUCUCUGGGCUGACACUGACGCUCAUGCACGAAAGCGUGGGGAGCAAACAGG